This 67-nucleotide transfer RNA is filed under the name Marmota monax (woodchuck). RNAcentral describes it as "tRNA.Ala". Lineage: Eukaryota; Metazoa; Chordata; Mammalia; Rodentia; Sciuridae. The record is from RNAcentral.
GGUUGUGGCUCAGUGAUAGAGUGGUUGUCCUGCAUGCAUGAGGCACUGGGUUCGAUCCUCAGUACCA